UUUAAAAAACUGUUAAAAGGGUAAGUUAGUCAAUCGCAUUUUGGACGUGGUUUGUGGAAACCAAUCGCCCAGGACGCGAUUUGGUACCAAAAUAAUAUAUUCCUUUCUUUUUAGGGUAAAUUGAGCACAGUAGCCGUUGAUCCACUUUUAAUUUCAGAUUUUGACAUUGUGGGCUGGCCUUUCAUUUCUUAGCCAUUCAGCCAAAAACUGACCAAAAUGCCCUUGACGAAACUGAACCCGGUUUGUACGUACGGAUCACAUCGUUGGAAUCCAAGAGAACCGGGUUUGUAUGUACACUGUUCAUUGACGAGAAAUGCAUUAAAUGUUUUCUGGAUUUUCGGCGAAUUUGACACUUGAGAUCGGUUUUACAUGAAUGAGAGUACGAUUCGUUGAAAUAUUAUAUAUGCAUAAUAUAUAUUAAAAUAUACAGCAUACAUAUAACUUACAUAAUAACUUAAUCUGGAUGUCAAAAAAU
This 475-nucleotide small RNA is filed under the name Arabidopsis thaliana (thale cress). RNAcentral describes it as "ATSL245550". The record is from RNAcentral. Lineage: Eukaryota; Viridiplantae; Streptophyta; Magnoliopsida; Brassicales; Brassicaceae.